This 465-nucleotide ribosomal RNA is filed under the name uncultured bacterium. RNAcentral describes it as "partial 16S ribosomal RNA". It matches the Rfam family "Bacterial small subunit ribosomal RNA", at positions 28 to 507 of the family's 1533-position model. The record is from RNAcentral.
GACGAACGCUGGCGGCGUGCUUAACACAUGCAAGUCGAACGGAAAGGCCCCUUUGGGGGUACUCGAGUGGCGAACGGGUGAGUAACACGUGAGUAACCUGCCCUUGACUUCGGGAUAACUUCAGGAAACUGGGGCUAAUACCGGAUAGGAAUCCUUGCUGCAUGGUGGGGGUUGGAAAGCUUCGGCGGUUUUGGAUGGACUCGCGGCUUAUCAGCUUGUUGGUGGGGUAGUGGCUUACCAAGGCUUUGACGGGUAGCCGGCCUGAGAGGGCGACCGGCCAUAUUGGGCAGGAGAGGCGGCCCAGACUCCGAGGGGAGGCAGCAGGGGGGAAUAUUGCAAAAGGGGGGGAGGCCUGAUGCAGCAACCCGGCGGGGGGGAGGACGCCCUUGGGGUUGAAACCGGUUUUCAGGGGGGGAGAGGUGUGGGGUGAGGGUACCUGAAAAAGAAGACCCGGCAAACUCCGUC